This 253-nucleotide ribosomal RNA is filed under the name uncultured bacterium. RNAcentral's name for it is "partial 16S ribosomal RNA". It matches the Rfam family "Bacterial small subunit ribosomal RNA", at positions 524 to 776 of the family's 1533-position model. The record is from RNAcentral.
GACGGAGGAUGCAAGCGUUAUCCGGAAUGAUUGGGCGUAAAGCGUCCGCAGGUGGCAGUUCAAGUCUGCUGUCAAAGACCGGGGCUCAACCUCGGAAAGGCAGUGGAAACUGAACAGCUAGAGUAUGGUAGGGGCAAAGGGAAUUCCUGGUGGAGCGGUGAAAUGCGUAGAGAUCGGAAAGAACACCAACGGCGAAGGCACUCUGCUGGGCCGACACUGACACUGAGAGACGAAAGCUAGGGGAGCAAAUGGG